UCACAAUAUUGGUACUAUAGUAUUAGCAGUAGUAGAAUAACAUCAGUAAACAGCAGAUGGAUAGAACUGAUUGAAUUAAGGGAUGAAUUUACAGAGAAAAUCAUUUGGGUUGGUGAUCUUCUGGCUCCAGAGUGGCCAUACUAAAGCAGUUAGCACUUGCGUUUCAGCUUUGUAAUUGCAAGGAGGAGUUUACAUUUAAGUUUUCACUUAAAUAAUAAGUAGAGGAAAGAAAGUACCUAUUACGUGAAUUUUGAAAGGGAGAGGGUGAAUGAGCAUCAGAUUUAGCUAUUCCCCUGCUCACUCUACUCAUCCGAGGAGUUGAUGGUGUUGAAUUGCUCGGAGUUGAUCUGGUACAAGUUCAAAAUAUGCAACAAUUAGGUAAACCAGAUAUCCGAAGAUCACAACAAUAUGAAAAAGAGAACACAUCGUUACUGACAGUUACACGAUUUAGGAUCAAUAUCCAUAUCGGAACUUACUUGGAUUUGGCGGACAUGUUGGCGGAUUUUUCCAGCAGACAAAGAAACAAGUACGUACAAAUUAGUACAAGUUAAGAAAGAAGAAUGCUACUUUGUGGCUCAGAGAAAAUGUAGACACAUGGGUAGAACUGAUGAAAUAUUUAGAGAGAAAAUCAUCUGGGUUGGUGAUCUUCUUUCUCCAGACUGGCCAUACUAUACAAGUUACUUGGUACUUUUUCUAUAUCAGUUGCAGCUUUUGAAUUUCAAGGAGGAAUUUACAAGGCUAC
Molecule: long non-coding RNA, 742 nt
Filed under: Nicotiana tabacum (common tobacco)
Lineage: Eukaryota; Viridiplantae; Streptophyta; Magnoliopsida; Solanales; Solanaceae
Description: long non-coding RNA (NTAB_LNC018033)
Source: RNAcentral